GAUGAACGCUGGCGGCGUGCCUAAUACAUGCAAGUCGAGCGAACGGACGAGAAGCUUGCUUCUCUGAUGUUAGCGGCGGACGGGUGAGUAACACGUGGAUAACCUACCUAUAAGACUGGGAUAACUUCGGGAAACCGGAGCUAAUACCGGAUAAUAUUUUGAACCGCAUGGUUCAAAAGUGAAAGACGGUCUUGCUGUCACUUAUAGAUGGAUCCGCGCUGCAUUAGCUAGUUGGUAAGGUAACGGCUUACCAAGGCGACGAUGCGUAGCCGACCUGAGAGGGUGAUCGGCCACACUGGAACUGAGACACGGUCCAGACUCCUACGGGAGGCAGCAGUAGGGAAUCUUCCGCAAUGGGCGAAAGCCUGACGGAGCAACGCCGCGUGAGUGAUGAAGGUCUUCGGAUCGUAAAACUCUGUUAUUAGGGAAGAACAAAUGUGUAAGUAACUAUGCACGUCUUGACGGUACCUAAUCAGAAAGCCACGGCUAACUACGUG
RNAcentral lists this ribosomal RNA (497 nucleotides) under uncultured bacterium. RNAcentral's name for it is "partial 16S ribosomal RNA". It matches the Rfam family "Bacterial small subunit ribosomal RNA", at positions 28 to 507 of the family's 1533-position model. The record is from RNAcentral.